This 492-nucleotide ribosomal RNA is filed under the name uncultured bacterium. Its description in RNAcentral is "partial 16S ribosomal RNA". It matches the Rfam family "Bacterial small subunit ribosomal RNA", at positions 29 to 507 of the family's 1533-position model. The record is from RNAcentral.
AGUGAACGCUGGCGGUAGGCCUAACACAUGCAAGUCGAACGGCAGCACAGUAAGCGCUUGCUCUUACGGGUGGCGAGUGGCGGACGGGUGAGGAAUACAUCGGAAUCUACUUUUUCGUGGGGGAUAACGUAGGGAAACUUACGCUACUACCGCAUACGUCCUACGGGUGAAAGCAGGGGAUCUUCGGACCUUGCGCGAUUGAAUGAGCCGAUGUCGGAUUAGCUAGUUGGCGGGGUAAAGGCCCACCAAGGCGACGAUCCGUAGCUGGUCUGAGAGGAUGAUCGGCCACACUGGAACUGAGACACGGUCCAGACUCCUACGGGAGGCAGCAGUGGGGAAUAUUGGGCAAUGGGCGAAAGCCUGAUGCAGCCAUACCGCGUGGGUGAAGAAGGCCUUCGGAUCGUAAAGCCCUUUUGUUGGGAAAGAAAAGAAGUAGGAGAAAACCCGGACGUCCUGACGGUACCCAAAGAAUAAGCAACGGCUAACUUCGUG